Molecule: long non-coding RNA, 2890 nt
Filed under: Sus scrofa (pig)
Lineage: Eukaryota; Metazoa; Chordata; Mammalia; Artiodactyla; Suidae
Description: lncRNA (ENSSSCG00005029851.1)
Source: RNAcentral
GGAGCCUGCUCUCGCCUCAGGUGGUCCCACAGAGGGUGGGCAAGUGGCUCAGGGCACAGACCCUGAAGGACAGACCUCUUUGGCUGUUCCGUGUGAUUUGGGGCUUGGGCCCAACCUCUCAUGAGCUUUGUCGGAUGCCGUUUUGUUUCUGGAGGGUGGACACUGCCAUUUCUCCCUGACGGCUCUCAUACGUCUUGCACUGCCACCUUUGAUCCAGUGACACAUAGAGCACCGAGCUUGGGGAACAAAAAGCUCCGCGCGCUGGUGCCCGCCGCCUCCUGGGAAAGGCACUGUCCACAGCUCGACGGUCUGGCCUCACAGUCCAGGGACUACAUUUCCCAGAGAGCCUUGCGGACAGAGCCGGUCUUGCGCACUUUUCACUUCCGGACGCGGAAGGUUGUCGUGGAAACGCAGACGCUGCCGCGACCUCUUUCUUACCUUCUUGCGCGUGAGCAUGCACUAUGGUAAUGGAUAUUUGGGUUGUUGGGUCCUCCUGGCUGUGGGUAGUGCUGGUGUGAAUUCCGUGACUCUAUCUGUGCAGGCAAAUGCUUUCAGAGUCUCUUUGGUUACAUGCUGAGGAGUGGAGUUGCUUUAUCUCAUGGCGUGAGCGUGAGGUGCACCCGGUCCUCCCUGGGUGCCUGGCUGUAGUGCCGGACUCUCUUCUGAGCCCGUCGCCAGUGUUUUGAGAUUGGCUGUCUUCUGAACAGUGGCCAGCAUUUGCCUCCUUAGAGCAGGUCGGGGCUGGGGCGGCCCUGAAAUCAGAACACACAGGGCAGGAACAGAAACAUUCUUUUGCGGCGUCUGGAGAGAGUGAUGUGGGCCCAAAGCCGUCCCUGAAGAGGCCGCGGAGUGCCUGCCAGCGCCCAGGUGCCAAGCAGGACGUAAGGCCAUCAACCUGCAGGUGGAGCUGGAGGUGCUACAGUGCUUUGAAGCUGGAGAGAUGCUCAGCAGAAUCGGGAAGGCGCUGGGGCUCUCCACCUCCACCGUGGCCACCAUUUGUGACAAGGACAAGAUCUGAGCGAGUUUCCAGCCAGGCGGCCCCCCCGCAGGCGGCCACCAAGCUGACGCACAGCCGCCGCCUGGCGAUGGAGAACACGGAGCGGCUGCUGAGCGUGUGGAUCGAGGACCAGAACCAGCGCAACACGCGGGGCAACAUGGUGCUUGUCCAGGAGAAGACCGCAGCCUGUUCGAGGAGCUCAGGCGGCAGCAGGGCGAGGGCGCCGAGUCGGAGACCUUCAGGCCUGCCAGGGCCGGUUCAAGGUGUUCAGCGAGGAGGAGACCCGGCUCUUCUGGAGGCGGCUGCUGGAUGGGACGGUGCCUUCCGCCCGGAGGAGCGCCCUGGGUUCACAGCCCCCCAAGAUCUACUGACUCUGCUGCUGGGCAGCAACGUGGCCGGUAGCUUGAAGCUGAAGCCGCUGCUGGUGUACCCGGUGGAGAACCUGCGCGCCCUCAGGGGCUUCUCCAAGCCCAGCCUGCCCCUGCUUGGCUCGCCCACAAGAAGGCGUGGGUCACGGUGAGCCUCUUCCCGGAGUGGUUCGUGCACUUCUUCCACCCUGCGGUGGAGAGGUACUAUGCCUGGCACGGGCUCCCGCGUAAAGCGCAGCUUGUCCCGGACAGCGCUCCUGGCCGCCCUGGAAACCUGGACGACCUCUCCGACCACGUGGGCGUGGAGUCCCUGCCCAAGGAUACCACAGCCCUCAUCCAGCCCAUGACCCAGGACGUGGUCGCCACCUUUAAGGCCUGCCACCUGCGGAGGGUCUUCCGCCUCUUGGCCGCGAGGGCCGGGGGCACAGGCGAGCCGGGAGCGGCCCUGGACGUCUGGCGGGACUACUGCAUCCUUGACACCGCCCCGUACCUCUCCGUGUCCUGGGAGGGGUCCUGCCCUCGUCGCUGAACAGUGGUUGGAGGAGGCCGUGGCCCGAGCGCCUCCAGCACAGAGUCAGCGGCCCCCAGGUGGAAACCCACAGAUCUGGUGGGACAUCCAGGCGCUGGCGCACCAGGUGGGUUUCAGGGAGGUGGCGGAGGCAGAGGUGGCCGAGCUGCUGCAGAGCCGUGGCUCGGACUGGUCCAAGAGGAGCUGGAGGAGCCGGAGCCGACUGCUGAGGAGGAGGGCAAGGCCAGCCCCGCCACCGCCGCCAGCUCACGGCUGAGCACUUGGCCAGGGCCCUGGCACAUUUCGAUGCCCGCCUGCACAUCAUCAGGGACGACGCCUCCAAGCUGGAGUGCAGCCUCCAGGUCUGUCGGGGUGUGAACAACUUGAUGGGCUGCUGUGGGCGCAUUUCAAGGAGAAGCAAGGCCCCAAGUAGUGGGGUGGGAGGGGUGGGGAAGGAGGGGGCGUCCUCCCUCGCCAGCUCUCACUUGGAAGUGACACUGGUCUUCGUGUUUCCAUCUCAUUAACUCCUCAAAUGUCUUUUGUCAGCAAAUAAUUUAUUAUCUCCAGUGAUCUCAAAUACAUGGUUUUAGAAGCCUCGACGAAUGCUCAGUGGUUCUGUGGUGUCCCGAGCCCUUUGGAGGCAUGCAUCUAUUUCCUUGUGGACACCUGUGAGGAAGCCAGGCUGGCUGGGCAGCGCCCCUGGCAUGCUGCUCCUGGCACCUUGCUCACUGCACUGAGCCCUCCCUUUAUUCCGAGGCGGGGCUCCCAGAGCUGGGUGGACAUCCAGUCCAGAGAGGAGUUGUGCUUGUUUUCUGGUCCUCUCACUCUUCUGCUGGGCUUCAGGACCCACAGAGGACAAAGGCUGACCCAGGUGAGUGCCCAGAGAGACUCGGGGGUCCCGCGAGUGGGCCUGGGUAGGAGUGUCUGGCCACCCCCCUCCCAGCUCUGUUCCUACAGAGCCCCAGUGCCUCGUGUCACCCUGUUCUGUUCUCCAAAAUGAUGCUGAGCCCUUGUGGU